This 29-nucleotide non-coding RNA is filed under the name Mus musculus (house mouse). Lineage: Eukaryota; Metazoa; Chordata; Mammalia; Rodentia; Muridae. The record is from RNAcentral.
UGUCCUUCAUUCGGUUGUCCCAAGUGCUU